GACGGAGGGUGCAAGCGGUGUUCGGAAUUACUGGGCGUAAAGCGCGUGUAGGCGGCUUGCUAAGUCUGAUGUGAAAGCCCGGGGCUCACCCCCGGACGUGCAUUGGAAACUGGCGAGCUCGAGUCCCGGAGAGGAGGGUGGAAUUCCUGGUGUAGCGGUGAAAUGCGUAGAUAUCAGGAGGAACACCGGUGGCGAAGGCGGCCCUCUGGACGGUGUCUGACGCUGAGACGCGAAAGCGUGGGGAGCAAACAGG
This 253-nucleotide ribosomal RNA is filed under the name uncultured bacterium. RNAcentral's name for it is "partial 16S ribosomal RNA". It matches the Rfam family "Bacterial small subunit ribosomal RNA", at positions 524 to 776 of the family's 1533-position model. The record is from RNAcentral.